GAUGAAGAAACGCAGCGAAAUGCGAUAAGUAGUGUGAAUUGCAGAAUUCAGUGAAUCAUCGAAUCUUUGAACGCACAUUGCGCCUUCUAGUAUUCUGGGAGGCAUGCCUGUUUGAGCGUCAUUAAACCUCUCUCAAGUAUGAUUACUUGGAUGUGAAGGAAGAGUACCUUAAACUUAAGGAGUGUUCUCCUUUGAAAUUGAUUAGCAGAUGGUAAUGUUAUUAAAUCCCUGAUGUUGUAAGAAAUAACAGUGGUUUUGUAGACUAUUAUCUAGCUUUAAAUUAUAAUUUUUAUUAUGGUUGACCUCAAAUCAGGUAAGGAUACCCGCUGAACUUAAGCAUAUCAAUAAGCGGAGGA
Molecule: unclassified non-coding RNA, 356 nt
Filed under: soil metagenome
Description: partial contains 5.8S ribosomal RNA, internal transcribed spacer 2, and large subunit ribosomal RNA
Rfam family: 5.8S ribosomal RNA (bases 1-121)
Source: RNAcentral